This 858-nucleotide ribosomal RNA is filed under the name uncultured eukaryote. RNAcentral's name for it is "bacterial SSU rRNA". The stretch from base 94 to 612 matches the Rfam family "Eukaryotic small subunit ribosomal RNA", at positions 1118 to 1666 of the family's 1831-position model. The record is from RNAcentral.
CAAAAGGGGCGAGUAAUACGAACCUGUAAGAUUCCUCCCCUGUUGGAUGGCGAUGGGAGCGGGUUCUCCCGGAGGAAAAUUUUUGUUUGCUCCGGGGGAAAUGGUGGUGGCGCUGAGACUUCUAGAAGAUGACGGAGGGGGGCCACCACGAGGGGGGCCCGCGGCGGUUAUUUUCUCCUCCGGGGGAAAAACCUGGGGGCCAGAAACCGAGGAGAUUGAAUUGUGAGCUCUUUCUUGAUUCGGUGGUUGGUGGGGGGUGGCCGUUCUUACUUGGUGGAGGGAUUUGUCUGGUUGAUUCCUAUAACGAGCAAGAAUCUAGCCUACUAAAUAGUAACUGGAUAGUUGAGUCCAGUCCACUUCUUAGAGGGACGAGAGGUGUUCUGCCUCACCAAAUUAAACUAUAACAGGUCUGUGAUGCCCUUACAUGUCCAAGGCUCGGGGCGCCCUACCCUGAAAGAAUCAGGAUGCUGUAACUUUGCCGAAAGGCAUUGGUAACCCCUUGAAACUCCUCCAUUAUUCGUAUCGAGAGUUGCAAUUAUUUCCCUUGAAUUCUGAAUUCCGAGUAAAUGCGAGUCAUCGGCUCACCUUGAUUUCGUCGUUGCUCAUUUUCCACGCCUUUCGUCACUCCGCCCGUUGCUACUAUUGAAUGAACGCGUUUACAGCUGUUUUCGGACUGCUCGGGGCGAAUAUUCUUUGGAGUGAACAGUCUUUAUUUGAGUAGCAUGAAUCAUGCUAUGGCUUAACACGUGUCCAUGUCGAACUGCGUAUGAGUAAGUGCAACUGCCGAACGGCUAAUGGAUAAUCUAUCUGAUCAAUCAUAGUCACUCCUGUGAUGGAUGAUAGAUCGACUUGCAUGUU